RNAcentral lists this ribosomal RNA (460 nucleotides) under uncultured bacterium. Its description in RNAcentral is "partial 16S ribosomal RNA". It matches the Rfam family "Bacterial small subunit ribosomal RNA", at positions 338 to 795 of the family's 1533-position model. The record is from RNAcentral.
CCUACGGGAGGCAGCAGUGAGGAAUUUUGGUCAAUGGCCGGGAGGCUGAACCAGCCAAGUCGCGUGAGGGAAGACGGCCCUACGGGUUGUAAAUUUCUUUUGUCAGGGAGCAAUUGGGUCCACGCGCGGGCUUAGCGAGAGUACCUGAAGAAAAAGCAUCGGCUAACUUCGUGCCAGCAGCCGCGGUAAUACGGAGGAUGCGAGCGUUAUCCGGAUUUAUUGGGUUUAAAGGUUGCGUAGGCGGAAUAUCAAGUCAGCGGUAAUAAUUCGGGGCUCAACUCCGUCGUGCCGUUGAAACUGAUGUUCUUGAGUGGGCGAGAAGUAUGCGGAAUGCGUGGUGUAGCGGUGAAAUGCAUAGAUAUCACGCAGAACUCCGAUUGCGAAGGCAGCAUACCGGCGCCCAACUGACGCUGAAGAACGAAAGCGUGGGUAUCGAACAGGAUUAGAUACCCGGGUAGUC